This 811-nucleotide ribosomal RNA is filed under the name Leifsonia shinshuensis. Its description in RNAcentral is "bacterial SSU rRNA". It matches the Rfam family "Bacterial small subunit ribosomal RNA", at positions 633 to 1441 of the family's 1533-position model. The record is from RNAcentral. Lineage: Bacteria; Bacillati; Actinomycetota; Actinomycetes; Micrococcales; Microbacteriaceae.
CGGGCAGACUAGAGUGCGGUAGGGGAGAAUGGAAUUCCUGGUGUAGCGGUGGAAUGCGCAGAUAUCAGGAGGAACACCGAUGGCGAAGGCAGUUCUCUGGGCCGUAACUGACGCUGAGGAGCGAAAGCGUGGGGAGCGAACAGGAUUAGAUACCCUGGUAGUCCACGCCGUAAACGUUGGGCGCUAGAUGUGGGGACCAUUCCACGGUUUCCGUGUCGCAGCUAACGCAUUAAGCGCCCCGCCUGGGGAGUACGGCCGCAAGGCUAAAACUCAAAGGAAUUGACGGGGGCCCGCACAAGCGGCGGAGCAUGCGGAUUAAUUCGAUGCAACGCGAAGAACCUUACCAAGGCUUGACAUACACGAGAACGCCCUAGAAAUAGGGAACUCUUUGGACACUCGUGAACAGGUGGUGCAUGGUUGUCGUCAGCUCGUGUCGUGAGAUGUUGGGUUAAGUCCCGCAACGAGCGCAACCCUCGUUCUAUGUUGCCAGCGCGUAAUGGCGGGAACUCAUAGGAGACUGCCGGGGUCAACUCGGAGGAAGGUGGGGAUGACGUCAAAUCAUCAUGCCCCUUAUGUCUUGGGCUUCACGCAUGCUACAAUGGCCGGUACAAAGGGCUGCAAUACCGUAAGGUGGAGCGAAUCCCAAAAAGCCGGUCUCAGUUCGGAUUGAGGUCUGCAACUCGACCUCAUGAAGUCGGAGUCGCUAGUAAUCGCAGAUCAGCAACGCUGCGGUGAAUACGUUCCCGGGCCUUGUACACACCGCCCGUCAAGUCAUGAAAGUCGGUAACACCCGAAGCCGGUGGCCCAACCC